Molecule: long non-coding RNA, 388 nt
Organism: Cephus cinctus (wheat stem sawfly)
Lineage: Eukaryota; Metazoa; Arthropoda; Insecta; Hymenoptera; Cephidae
Exons: 3
Source: RefSeq, a predicted model, not a curated record
ACGAUCAUGGCAGCGCGCAAAACCAAACUCUCGCUUCUGAUGUAAAAAAUAAAUUCAAAAAUACAACGAAUCCUGUUUUACAGACGAUUAGCGAUGGGAAGGACCAGGCAGUGCUUAGAUUAUGGCGAGCCCAUUGUCAUCUGGGAGUGGAUUCGGUUUGCCUCAUUCUGUCAAAGUGGCGCCGAUAAUUAGCCCGUCCUCGUCCUCUGUUACGGUGACCAUGAUUGUUAUGUCCGUGAUGAUUAUGGUGGGAUUGUCGUGGAGGACUAACUUCUUCUGUGGCUGCAGCAGGAUCAUCUUCCGUUCUUAGUAACAUCUUAACUCCUUCGGCUUCAGGGUCAAUAAUCCCUCCACGUUGUUGCUGACGUAAGAAUAAAGCGGCCAUUUG